UGGCGGACGGGUGAGUAAUGUCUGGGAAACUGCCCGAUGGAGGGGGAUAACUACUGGAAACGGUAGCUAAUACCGCAUAACGUCGCAAGACCAAAGAGGGGGACCUUCGGGCCUCUUGCCAUCGGAUGUGCCCAGAUGGGAUUAGCUAGUAGGUGGGGUAACGGCUCACCUAGGUGACGAUCCCUAGCUGGUCUGAGAGGAUGACCAGCCACACUGGAACUGAGACACGGUCCAGACUCCUACGGGAGGCAGCAUG
RNAcentral lists this ribosomal RNA (256 nucleotides) under uncultured bacterium. RNAcentral describes it as "partial 16S ribosomal RNA". It matches the Rfam family "Bacterial small subunit ribosomal RNA", at positions 96 to 353 of the family's 1533-position model. The record is from RNAcentral.